RNAcentral lists this ribosomal RNA (254 nucleotides) under uncultured bacterium. RNAcentral's name for it is "partial 16S ribosomal RNA". It matches the Rfam family "Bacterial small subunit ribosomal RNA", at positions 524 to 776 of the family's 1533-position model. The record is from RNAcentral.
UACGUAGGGUGCGAGCGUUGUCCGGAAUUAUUGGGCGUAAAGAGCUCGUAGGCGGUCUGUCGCGUCGAUCGUGAAAACUUGGGGCUUAACCCUGAGCUUGCGGUCGAUACGGGCAUGACUGGAGUUCGGCAGGGGAGACUGGAAUUCCUGGUGUAGCGGUGAAAUGCGCAGAUAUCAGGAGGAACACCGGUGGCGAAGGCGGCAUCCUGGACCGGCAUUGACGCUGAGGAGCGAAAGCCAGGGGAGCAAACGGG